This 433-nucleotide ribosomal RNA is filed under the name uncultured bacterium. Its description in RNAcentral is "partial 16S ribosomal RNA". It matches the Rfam family "Bacterial small subunit ribosomal RNA", at positions 29 to 507 of the family's 1533-position model. The record is from RNAcentral.
AACGAACGCUGGCGGCAUGCCUAACACAUGCAAGUCGAACGAUCCCUUCGGGGAUAGUGGCGCACGGGUGCGUAACGCGUGGGAACCUGCCCUUAGGUUCGGAAUAACUCAGAGAAAUUUGAGCUAAUACCGGAUAAUGUCUUCCGACCAAAGAUUUAUCGCCUUUGGAUGGGCCCGCGUUGGAUUAGCUAGUUGGUGGGGUAAAGGCCUACCAAGGCGACGAUCCAUAGCUGGUCUGAGAGGAUGAUCAGCCACACUGGGACUGGGACACGGCCGAGAAUCCUGCGGGAGGCAGCAGUGGGGAAUAUUGGACAAUGGGCGAAAGACUGAUCCAGCAAUGCCGCGUGAGUGAUGAAGGCCUGAGGGUUGUAAAGCUAUUUUACCCGGGAUGAUAAUGACAGUACCGGGAGAAUAAGCCCCGGCUAACUCCGUG